UUGGUUACUAUAUAUAUACAUACCUACAUGUUGAAAUGUCGGGUGUACAUUAUAUCCGGGCGGUGUAACGCUAGAAUCUAAAAUAGCUGAAUCUGUGAAAGGUAGAACAUCUUAAGACAAACCCAGCAACUUGUUACCGGAUUAUUAACACCUUCAAAAAAGUAUCAGAUCGAUAGGAGCAAUACUAAAAGAGCUGUUUAUAUACUACACAAUUAAACGUUUCAACAUGGCGUGUGCGCCAUAUUAUUAUUAUGAUAAAUAUAUGAAUGAAUGUUCACACUGUGGUACUAUAUGUGAUGAUGCUGAAAAACGUGGAAAUCUGGCAGACUGCAAGUCUCGUUGUCCAGAUUACCUAGAAAGCCUUCAACUUAGUAUAGCAGAAUAUCAAAAGACAGGCAACUCAAAUACAGAAUCUCAAACAAUUGUGAUACUGUUAGUAACAUUAUGUCUUGUAUUGGUACUAGCUCUGACAUUGGGGUUUUACCAUAGAAAAAAGAUUAGUCGAUGCAGGAAUAGGCACGUAGUUCCAAAUCCCAGAACUACGAUCAAUGAAGUAGGAGAAUUUAACGAUUCUAAAAAUCCUGCUGAUGAAAUGGCAAUGUCUGAUUUACAUAUUGGUACCACUCGUUUAAUUGAUACAGAAUCUGGUGGCUUGCUUACUUCCAAACUUUAAACCACAGCUGAGGAAUUAGAUUUGUGAAUGCAAAUACUUCAAAAGAGAACAGAUAAUCGUGUCGCUACUCUCUGUAAGUUUUGUACUAUAUCCAAGAUGACUUUUUUUUAAAGAUACAUUAUGGGAGAUUCGAUAACGAGUUGGCAGUUCUCACUAUAAUAGUUAAAAACUAGAUAAUGUAAAGGCAAUUUGCUGAACAUUUCAUUCAAAUUGAUCCACUAUGAACCGAGAACAAAGCAAUUGGAUUUCCGCCUAGUCUUGAUCAUCAUUACUAAAGUCAGUACGAUAAACAGAAUAGUCUCGAUUAUCCAUUUAAUCGUUAAAUCGUAAAGGACAGUCAUACAAUCCACUAAAGAUCGCAGGUUAGCGAUACAAUCUAGAGUUGAUUAUGGUCUGGAUAGGUUAAUUAAUGUCUAAUUAAUAAUUUAGAUAACAUUUCAGGCCUAAAGAAAGACCUGCAAUAGACACAUUUAGCUCUUACAUAAUGUUGGCUUAAGUGAAAGUAAAUAUUUUUGCUUUAAUAAUUUGUAACCGUGUGUAAUUCAUGAUUACAAUUAUAAACAGUGUAUUUAUAUUUCUGCAAAUAAUUUCUUACGGGUAAUGAAUCUAUAUAAGCUCCAGCUUGUUUUCAGAUCUCAUAAUUAAAUAUUGUGUCUUAUAUGUAAAUAUUGAUUGAAUAAAUAUUGUUAGAAAAAAAUACUUCCUUUCUGUUCGAGUCUCUAGGUAUGAAACGUCCGCCCUUUUCUCUCCGUAUACAUUAUAAUACACCACUCAUUGUUAUAACUCUAUGCUUUAUAACGAUGCUUAUUAUAACGAAUAAUACAUAGCAUAUCAACAUAUUUGUAUUUUUGCAUCUGACUAUAUUUCUAUGAUGAAUAAUCAUUUUUCUGUGAAUAUAUAUUUUUUUAUCUUGGCAGCUUUCAUGUUAAUGUAUGAGCUAAAAUUGUAUAAUGAAGUUAUUCCUUUUUACGGAGUCAAAAAUGGGAAAUAAUAGAAUUCAUACUGUUUAAUCAUCUGCAUUUUUUAGGACAAAAUCGUUGUUUGUUGUGGUUAAUUACAAUUUUAUAACGUCCAAUUGCUGUUGUGUUGUUGUUUAUUACAAUUUUAACGUCCAAUAUCGUUGUUGUGUUGUUGCUUAUUACAAUUCUUUUAUGAUUCCACAAUACAAAAAUGUAUUUAUUUUAUAAUAUAUGUAUCAUGUAUUUUUGUAAGGACAGAUCCUUACAUUUGUAUGUCGAAUGCAAUAAUAUUUUUA
This is a long non-coding RNA of Patella vulgata (common limpet), 1928 nucleotides long. RefSeq lists it as uncharacterized. NCBI's taxonomy places the organism in Eukaryota, Metazoa, Mollusca, Gastropoda, Patellidae. The transcript has 4 exons. The record is from RefSeq and is a predicted model, not a curated record.